UCCUUCCACACAGGAUCCCUCAAGGAGAGCGAGACGCCGCACUCCGCCCUCAGAGCCCACCGGCAGCGCCCCGCUCCGUCGUAUCAAGAGUAUCGCCGGCCCUUGCAGCACCAUCCUGCGUAGGACCACACGCGCUCUUUUCGAAUCUCCCCCUUUGCCACGUCAUGCGAGCGCACGCCUUCUUGCGCUGCGCCGCCAGGGUGAUGGCUCCAGGGGCAGCCACAUGCACCUCCUCCGUCUCUUCCUCGCCCUCACCCUCGUCGUAUUCCGCAGCGUCUGCCCACAGCACCAUGCACGCGUUUCGCACGCGUGACAUUACGCUGCGUGUGCCCAGCAAAGACAAGCUUCUGCGCUUCUCCUUUUGCUCUGCCCGCCAUCUCCUGGCUGAGACGAUCCGUCGGCACGACCUCCUGCGGAGCACCAGGGCUCAUGUGGGCUUCUUGCAGCUCCUCGGAACACAGAUCACGUUUGCAAACCUGCUUGCCUCCGCACUAGAGGGCGAGGAGCGAGUGGAAGCUCGAUUCACCGCGGAAGAGGCCACCAUCUUGACGGAGGCGCUGGCGCUGGGGGAGUGUCGGUGCUACCUGCGACCCGAGUACAAUGCGCAGCUGGCGGAAUGUGGUCUUCCGACGUUCCCGCUGCGCGUGAACCGUAUCCUGUAUCGCCAGGAGAAGCCUUUUUCGUCGGUCGUGCACGCCGAUCUGGCCGAGCUCCUUCAGCCCCCUUGUGGCGUCGCCUCCAACUCCGCUGCUGCUGCCACUGGCGCAAACGAAGCCAGCGAUGCACCGUUCUCCUUGUAUCUGCCUGGCACGGAGAGGCGGGUGCCGCUGGAGGCGUGGAAGAGCUUCUUCUCCUACAACAGCAGCCUGCACGCCUACAACUACCUGCGCCGGUCCGACGGCAGCGUCCCGGCGGUGUGGCUGCAGUCCCGGGUCGACGCGGCCAGGCUUAUGGACCACGGAUUCUUGAACGCGGACGGCACUGCUGCAGCUGCUGCAUGGCAGCGUGGCGAGGCGUGCAGUGACGAGGACGAAGAGAAGAAGGCGCAAGAUAUCCGGCGAGCUCUUCUGCAUGCAAUCCCAUUCAGCUUUGGUGUGGUGGUGACGCCGCUGGCUGCUGGCGUUGCGGUAGACCAACGUGUGAACCAGCUGAACCGUGUAGUGAUGGAGUCCGCCGCGCUGCUGAGCGCAUCGCCAGGCGGCGGCGCAACGGUCACCUCGGCUCUGCAGCCGCUUCUAGAUCGAUGCGCAGAGAAGCACACUGCGUGCCAGCACAUCCUGUCUCUGGUUUCUGGCGACCACGAUGGUGCCUAUCAAGCCGCGGUGGCGGCUCGGCAGUACAACGACGAUCCGGCGCAGGUGGCUGCGGUGGUGGACCCGAUACGGCGAGCGCUGGGGGUGCAGGACUUUGUGGUCCCCCUUGCGGCAGCGGAAGCGGCGCGGACGGGGUUGGACUUUUUUUGCCGCUGCUCGAAGCAGAACGUCCUGGAGUCCCUCGUCUCCGCGCCCCCUCGUGCGCUGGAGUCGCUGAAGGGGAGCGGCAACACAGUUCACUGCUCCUUUUGUGGAAGACGGUACAAGCUCGCCGGCGCAGAGUGGCAGGAGCUGGAAAUGGCUCGAUCCGCUUCCACGCCGCCGCAGCGAUCACAGUCCCUCACAGAGUAGAGUCCGCUGCUCUCUCUUCCCCUCACACGCCACGUGCACGGCCUGCCAGACUUGGCGUGCGCCGUGUACUUCACAGUUUUGUUUCCGCCUGUCACUUCGUCGUCUUACUCUGCUUGCAAGGGCCAGGCGCAUCGCAGCUGCACCAAAGCACCAUCGAGCGGAAUGCCGCGCGAGCGCCGCGUUGGAAUGCCUUAUUGAGAUGGACAACGUGGCGUGCCGUGCAGUUGCACGCUGCGCGUGGUGCAACGCGCGCAUCAUGAUUGCUGGCACGCGUGCCGCCGUCUGGGAACGUCAUAUGUUCGCCUCGCGCUCUUCCCCUCCCUGCUCUUCUGGCCUUCCUUCCCUUUCCGCUAUCAGUGGUCCCCCUCUCGCUUGUCUUAG
RNAcentral lists this unclassified non-coding RNA (2045 nucleotides) under Leishmania donovani. RNAcentral's name for it is "gene:unknown". The record is from RNAcentral. Lineage: Eukaryota; Euglenozoa; Kinetoplastea; Trypanosomatida; Trypanosomatidae.